Molecule: small RNA, 555 nt
Filed under: Pongo abelii (Sumatran orangutan)
Lineage: Eukaryota; Metazoa; Chordata; Mammalia; Primates; Hominidae
Description: processed transcript
Source: RNAcentral
UCAAAAAUUACAAUAUUUCUCACAGUCGUGCUGCGUUUGGGAGAUACACAGUCAUGUCAACAUACAUGAAUUUUAUGAGAAGGAGAUAGAGAAUCCAAAGGCCCUAUUGUGCCUUUAAAUGUAGCUGACCAAAAGCUUCUUGAAGCUAGUACACAGUUUCAGAAAAAACAAGGAAAGAAUACUAUUGAUGUCUGGUGGCUUUUUGAUGAUGGAGGUUUGACCUUAUUGAUACCUUACCUUCUGACGACCAAGAAAAAAUGGAAAGACUGUAAGAUCAGAGUAUUCAUUGGUGGAAAGAUAAACAGAAUAGACCAUGACCGGAGAGCGAUGGCUACUUUGCUUAGCAAGUUCCGGAUAGACUUUUCUGAUAUUAUGGUCCUAGGAGAUAUCAAUACCAAACCAAAGAAAGAAAAUAUUAUAGCUUUUGAGGAAAUGAUUGAGCUAUACAGACUUCACGAAGAUGAUAAAGAGCAAGAUAUUGCAGAUAAAAUGAAAGAAGAUGAACCAUGGCGAAUAACAGAUAAUGAGCUUGAGCUUUAUAAGACCAAGGUAUUC